AUUUGAACUGGUGACACGAGGAUUUUCAGUCCUCUGCUCUACCGACUGAGCUAUCCCGGCCAACGUCUCUACGGAGAUGCCUCAAAUCCAAAUGAGACAGAUAUCUUCGAUCUAUCUCUGCUCAAUCAAACCAAUAACCUCGGUAAAACAAUAGUCGUUUGUUUAAGAUUUUCUAUAGUUUUCAAAUGAACCACUCAAAAAGCCCUUUAGGCUUGCUCAGUGGUUCAUUUGUGAUCCAUACUCAAAUAAAAGGUUAAAGUCAAAAGGACAGGGUAUUAAGCUAAAUUUAUAGUUUGGAAGGGGUAAGAUAACCAUAUGAAUCCGAACAACCUAUAUAUAUAUAUAUAUAAAGAUUGGCAAUUCUACCCUGUUCUGUUGGGGAUAGAGGGACUUGAACCCUCACGGUCCUAUAAAGACCAACGGAUUUUCUUUCUACCACAAUUUGCAUUGCUACUUAUACUAACCAUGUAGAAUGGGACUCUACCUUUAUCCACGAAAACAUUAUUAGCUACUGCUACUACUUGUCGAGGAGUAUUCAUUAAAAUACAACGGAAGACAGGCACUAUAACAGGUAGAAACGGAAUAUGAAAGUUAGUAGGAAUAUAUUAUAUCUUUUAUAUACUAUAGAUUCAAAUAUUGGAGCGAUCCUGCGACUCUAGACCGAAACAGGGGUCGCGCUCGAUCCUUAUCCAAAUAGAUAAACUUUUUUUUUUCAUCUCUUCGUCUCAUAUUCCUGUAUUUCAUCUCGUUCAAUCAACCAUCUGCGGUAGUUAAAUAUUCAAUUACUUUAGAAAUAAGAAUUAAUAGAUUGUUCGUUGGAAUAGCCCCCGUCGAGUCUCUGUACCUAUCUCGCUUCGUCAUCUAAGAUUUAGAUAGAUGAUUUGAGAUUUGGCUCAGGAUUGCCCACAAAAUAAUCCUAGGUUCCCCUGAAUCUGGGAGCUGUCACUCAGUACGUUUCCAUACCUAGGCUCAAUCUGAUUGAGUCCGUAGCGUCUACCGAUUUCG
RNAcentral lists this unclassified non-coding RNA (1005 nucleotides) under Sphaeropteris hainanensis. Its description in RNAcentral is "partial contains tRNA-Leu (trnL), trnL-trnF intergenic spacer, and tRNA-Phe (trnF)". Lineage: Eukaryota; Viridiplantae; Streptophyta; Polypodiopsida; Cyatheales; Cyatheaceae. The record is from RNAcentral.